RNAcentral lists this unclassified non-coding RNA (289 nucleotides) under Hevea brasiliensis (rubber tree). The record is from RNAcentral. Lineage: Eukaryota; Viridiplantae; Streptophyta; Magnoliopsida; Malpighiales; Euphorbiaceae.
GGAAAAACUGCCUCAAAGUUUGUCUUUUUGAAUUUCUUUUUCAAAUUGUUGAAUAUGCCAGGAAAUGAGACUUGUCAAAUCCAUAUCCUUCCGAGUUAACGAAUGCAUUUCCUUCAGACUUUUUAACUUAAAUCACAGUGAUGUGGGAAAAGAUAAUUGGUAGUUGUUAUUCUUUGAAUUGUAUAAAGUGCAUCAAUAUGGUAAUCUAUUGACUGUUGAUUCUGGCUUGGAACAAUUUGGUCUGAUAUGGAUAGACGGGCACAAAGAUGGACACUAGCCAAAUGAAGAG